Molecule: ribosomal RNA, 253 nt
Filed under: uncultured prokaryote
Description: partial 16S ribosomal RNA
Rfam family: Bacterial small subunit ribosomal RNA
Source: RNAcentral
UACAGAGGGUGCGAGCGUUGUCCGGAAUCACUGGGCGUAAAGGGCGCGUAGGCGGCUCGGUAAGCGUGCGGUGAAAGCCCGGGGCUCAACCCCGGGUCGGCCGUGCGAACUGCCGAGCUGGAGCACUGUAGAGGCAGGUGGAAUUCCGGGUGUAGCAGUGAAAUGCGUAGAUAUGCGGAGGAACACCGAUGGCGAAGGCAAUCCCCUGGGCCUGCACUGACGCUCAUGCACGAAAGCGUGGGGAGCAAACAGG